GACGAACGCUGGCGGCGUGCUUAACACAUGCAAGUCGAACGGAAAGGCCCUGCUUUUGUGGGGUGCUCGAGUGGCGAACGGGUGAGUAACACGUGAGUAACCUGCCCUUGACUUUGGGAUAACUUCAGGAAACUGGGGCUAAUACCGGAUAGGAGCUCCUGCUGCAUGGUGGGGGUUGGAAAGUUUCGGCGGUUGGGGAUGGACUCGCGGCUUAUCAGCUUGUUGGUGGGGUAGUGGCUUACCAAGGCUUUGACGGGUAGCCGGCCUGAGAGGGUGACCGGCCACAUUGGGACUGAGAUACGGCCCAGACUCCAACGGGAGGCAGCAGUGGGGAAUAUUGCACAAUGGGCGGAAGCCUGAUGCAGCAACGCCGCGUGCGGGAUGACGGCCUUCGGGUUGUAAACCGCUUUCGCCUGUGACGAAGCGUGAGUGACGGUAAUGGGUAAAGAAGCACCGGCUAACUACGUG
RNAcentral lists this ribosomal RNA (468 nucleotides) under uncultured bacterium. Its description in RNAcentral is "partial 16S ribosomal RNA". It matches the Rfam family "Bacterial small subunit ribosomal RNA", at positions 28 to 507 of the family's 1533-position model. The record is from RNAcentral.